AGCGAACGCUGGCGGCAUGCUUAACACAUGCAAGUCGCACGGUCGGGGUAACCCGACAGUGGCGGACGGGUGAGUAACACGUGGGUAACCUGCCCGGAAGUGGGGAAGUACCUCGGGGAAACUCGAGCUAAUACCGCAUAACAUCUUUAGGACGAUGGUCCUGACGAUCAAAGCGGGGUCGCAAGAUCUCGCGCUACCGGAUGGGCCCGCGCCUGAUUAGCUAGUUGGUGGGGUAACGGCGUCACCAAGGCUUCGAUCAGUAACCGGCCUGAGAGGGCGAUCGGUCACACCGGAACUGAGACACGGUCCGGACUCCUACGGGAGGCAGCAGUGGGGAUCUUGCGCAAUGGGCGAAAGCCUGACGCAGCAACGCCGCGUGGAGGA
RNAcentral lists this ribosomal RNA (384 nucleotides) under uncultured bacterium. RNAcentral's name for it is "bacterial SSU rRNA". It matches the Rfam family "Bacterial small subunit ribosomal RNA", at positions 29 to 408 of the family's 1533-position model. The record is from RNAcentral.